AAUAAGUUUUAUUAAUGCAUAAUGAGCAUUUUGAAUCAGUCUUUUCAAUCAGGGCUUCAGGAACCUUGCCUUUUUAACAAACGAUUGAGUGUAUGUUAAACAUCUGGCUAGCUCCUACAAACAAUGACUCAAAGGAUUAUGCAAUAAAAAUGACUGAUAUAAUGUUGACCGCUGUGAAAGUCUUCAUGUUCUGACAUAGUCCACGAACACUGAAUAAUUCCUGUUUUGUUUUUUGUUUUUCUUCGUUUGUGCAGUUCUCAGGCUAUCUAGAUGUGCAUGGGGACUAGACAGCUGACUAUCUUUACACCCUCAUGUUUACAGUGUCUGAUGAGAACCUCAGCUGGUACCUGGAUGAAAACAUCAGGACCUACUGCACAACUCCUGCCAAAGUCAACAAGGAUGAUGAAGGCUUCCAGGAAAGCAAUAAAAUGCACUGUGAGUUCAGUGAUAAUGUGAACAGGCCAUCAGCUAUCAACGGGUAUGUCUAGACCUCAGUGUGUGCAUGGGCAUUAAGAUCCAUUGGCACUGGUUUGGAAUUGGGAACGAGGUGGACCUCCACUCAGCCUUCUUCCAUGGAUAGAUCCUGACAGACAAGCAGCACUAUGUUGACACCAUCAGUCUAUUCUUGGCUAGUUUUGUUAACGUAGAGAUGGGGGCAAAUAAUCCCAGCCAGUGGCUCCUCAGCUGCCAGGUCAAUGAUCAAUGAUCAUCAGGUACAGAAAGACCAGAUCUGAGAAUAUGGAUGCAAAAAUUCUGCAUUGUUACAAUGGCUGUGUUGCAUUUAAUUAAAUUUCUCCCCACUUUUAGCUGGCAUGCAUGCCAUUUUUGAGAUUAAGAAGUGUUUACCAAAAGUGCAUAAAACCAGAUCAUUUGGAGAAGUGAGACUAUUAAAUUGCCACUGAGGAAAUAAUUUGUGAUUAUUGGCCAACAGGGAUAAACCAGUAUUCAGGAAAGAAACUUGCUGAUGACAGGUCAAAAUAAUAUUGACUGAGAGACAUACUGAAAUCAAAGCGAAUGUCCUUUUUUUCCCUUACAAUUUGAUCUCAUAUCUCUGAACAUACUCUGUGUAUCUUACACUUUCUUUGAAAACCUCAAUGUUCGCAUCGGGGGCAAAUACAAGAAGGUCCAAUAUGUGGAAUAUACUUGAUGACACAUUCUCCAAAUCCAAAGAGAGGACCCCAGAGGAGCAGCAGCUGGGAAUUCUGGGUCCAAUCAUCAGAGCAGAGGAAUAGGACACAAUUAAAGUAACAUUUAGAAAUAAAGCAAGCAGGUCCUACAGUAUCCAACCUCACAGAGUGCAAUAUAAUAUAGAAAUGGAUGGAACUCUCUACCUAAACAUCCUGGAAGAUCCGCAAAACAGCCUAAAUCUGUAAUUAAAGAACAUGAAGACUUUUAAGAGUACAAUAAACUGCACUACUAGGAUCAGAGGUUGACAUGCAUGGAAUUUACUUUGAGGGCAACAGGUUCCUCUACAAAGACACCAGGAGAGACACCAUUAACGUGUUCCCUCAUAUCUCUCACACUGUCAUCUUGGAGCCUGAUAGCAUGGGGUAGUUUGAGGUGGGAUGUAAAACCACAGAUCAUUAUCAUGGAGGAAUGAGAGCCAACUACACCAUGGAGAAGAGUGGCUUCUGGAACCAUCAGUCUGAGAAAAUCCUCAACCAGAAGAAGUAUUACAUUGCUGCGGUUGAGAUGGACUUGGACUAUCAUCCACCCACACAUGGGAGGAACAAAUGCACCAUAGUCUGAAAGACAGGUAGUCCAAGUCCUUCACCAGAACUCAUGCAUCCCAUUUUCAAAAAUAGAAGAAGAACACCAGUGGUGUUCAUUGACCUGUUUAUGUGCCAAGCAUCAACAGGCAGAUGUGAAUGAGAUCUGAGAUUUAUGGGUAUUGAGCUACAG
Molecule: long non-coding RNA, 1902 nt
Organism: Carassius gibelio (silver crucian carp)
Lineage: Eukaryota; Metazoa; Chordata; Actinopteri; Cypriniformes; Cyprinidae
Exons: 6
Source: RefSeq, a predicted model, not a curated record